GCCCCGAUGGGGUAGUUCGGAUAUCCUUGAGGCCUGCGGAGUCUUAGACCUGGGUUCAAAUCCCAGUCGGGGCG
RNAcentral lists this transfer RNA (74 nucleotides) under Candidatus Methanoperedens sp. RNAcentral describes it as "tRNA-Arg". It matches the Rfam family "tRNA". From Rfam's summary of the family: Transfer RNA (tRNA) molecules are approximately 80 nucleotides in length. Their secondary structure includes four short double-helical elements and three loops (D, anti-codon, and T loops). Lineage: Archaea; Methanobacteriati; Methanobacteriota; Methanomicrobia; Methanosarcinales; Candidatus Methanoperedentaceae. RNAcentral also lists the same sequence under 1 other name. The record is from RNAcentral.